GAUUGACCUCGGAUCAGGUAGGGAUACCCGCUGAACUUAAGCAUAUCAAUAAGCGGAGGAAAAGAAACCAACAGGGAUUGCCUCAGUAACGGCGAGUGAAGCGGCAACAGCUCAAAUUUGAAAUCUGGCCUCUUCGGGGUCCGAGUUGUAAUUUGUAGAGGGUGUUUCGGGCGCGGCGCCGGUCUAAGUCCCUUGGAACAGGGUGUCACAGAGGGUGAGAAUCCCGUACGUGACUGGCGACCAACCCCAUAUGAAACCCCUUCGACGAGUCGAGUUGUUUGGGAAUGCAGCUCAAAAUGGGUGGUAAAUUUCAUCUAAAGCUAAAUACCGGCCAGAGACCGAUAGCGCACAAGUAGAGUGAUCGAAAGAUGAAAAGCACUUUGGAAAGAGAGUCAAACAGUACGUGAAAUUGUUGAAAGGGAAGCGCUUGCGACCAGACCUGUCCGUCGGCGAUCAGCCUCUGUUUUCAGGGGUGCACUCGUCGGCGAUCAGGCCAGCAUCGGUUUGGACGGCGGGAUAAAGGCCUUGGGAAUGUGGCUCCCCUCGGGGAGUGUUAUAGCCCUGGGUGAAUGCCGCCCGCCCGGACCGAGGACCGCGCUUCGGCUAGGAUGCUGGCGUAAUGGUCGUAAGCGACCCGUCUUGAAACACGGACCAAGGAGUCUAACAUCUAUGCGAGUGUUUGGGUGUCAAACCCAUACGCGUAAUGAAAGUGAACGGAGGUGAGAACCCUUUAAGGGGGCGCAUCAUCGACCGAUCCUGAUGUCUUCGGAUGGAUUUGAGUACGAGCAUAGCUGUUGGGACCCGAAAGAUGGUGAACUAUGCCUGAAUAGGGUGAAGCCAGAGGAAACUCUGGUGGAGGCUCGCAGCGGUUCUGACGUGCAAAUCGAUCGUCAAAUUUGGGUAUAGGGGCGAAAGACUAAUCGAACCAUCUAGUAGCUGGUUCCUGCCGAAGUUUCCCUCAGGA
RNAcentral lists this ribosomal RNA (964 nucleotides) under Lecanora intumescens. Its description in RNAcentral is "eukaryotic LSU rRNA". It matches the Rfam family "Eukaryotic large subunit ribosomal RNA", at positions 1 to 978 of the family's 3401-position model. Lineage: Eukaryota; Fungi; Ascomycota; Lecanoromycetes; Lecanorales; Lecanoraceae. The record is from RNAcentral.